UAUUUAUAUCGUCCGAAUAAAAAGUGUAUGCAAAGUGACGGAAGACGCUUCAGGCUGUCUGCAGUGAUGGCAGAAGCCUGGUAGCUUGGGCCCCAUCAUGCCACUUGUGUGUUUUGCUGCAUAUUGCUGAGUCGUUGGAAACAGUGAGUUGUGAGAAAGUUAACUUUGGUGCUUUUGAUUCUUAGGGCCAGUGGGGAGUGACAGCGGCAGAUGAGGAGGAGGAGAACAGGAGGAUUCAGGAAUUUCAAGAGUCCAUACCGAAAAUGUGUUCCCAGCUGCGGAUCCUGACGCACUUUUAUCAGGGCCCUCAGCGCUCCGGUCAGCACGACUGCCAGGGAGUGAGCAGCAGCUUGUCACGGGCUGCUUGGUAUCGUGCAGCAGUUUCUGGUGUUAUUGACGACCAGCCCUGAUGAAAGUCUCCGGUUCCUCAGCUUCAGGCUGGACUUUAACGAGCACUACAAGGCCAGGGAGCCCAGGCUCCGAGUGUCUCUGGGCUCCAGGGGACGGCGCACGUCCCACACGUGAGGGCAGAAGACUCCGUCUGUUCACACCAGCUCACGACGGGUGGUCGGGGGCCAGCUUGCCACUGGCGGCCGCCUCUGCCUGAGGGCUGUAGUGUGUGUCGGUGGCCUGGCAUCCAGCAGGGUUGCAGUCACGCGGUGUCCACCAGAAGCGAAUGUGCCGUUGCUGGGUUGGUAGACUGCGCCCUCUGGUCAGCUCAUCUGGGCCAUGCUCACAGUGCAGACGCCAGGACGCGGGGUGGGGGUGGGGGGGUGGGGGGGCUGCGUGCGCACUCCAGGGUGUCGCUUGUAUUGAUCACAGUCCUGUUAGCCAGCAUAGGGCGUGGUGUGUUCAGAAUAAUGUCAAUGCUAUUUUUUUAACAUCCUCUUUAGAGGAAGUUUUUGUUACCAUAAUAAACUGAAACAAGAUGUCCCUGCUAAGAAAACACAGAGCAUUUUAUUUGGGUUUUUGUGUUGUGAAAUGCUCACCUGCGAGUGUAUUUAUCUUAAUGCUCCCCUUUGUUUGCUUGCUCUUACCUCUUCUCGCAAGGUUUACAUUUUUAUAUUUCCUGUUUCGUGUAACUUCCAAACCAGUACAGAGAAGAGUAGGAGCGGCCCGGAACACAAGCAGAUGUAGCCCAGGCCUCGAGAAGCCCUUGGCCAGAGCGGUGUGUAAAUACAGAUGACUCAAGGGUAAAUGAAGGAUUGUAUUUUCAGAUUCUUCCAAGCACUGGAAAGAAAUUGACUUGGAUAAUGAAGACUUCCUUUUUCCUCACCUAUUUUUUUCACUGUAAAUAUUUAUAUACUACUGACCAGAUGUUGGGAGGAACGGUUUUUUGUAAAAGCAAAAUGUCAUAUCAAGUCACAU
This 1368-nucleotide long non-coding RNA is filed under the name Heterocephalus glaber (naked mole-rat). RNAcentral describes it as "lncRNA (ENSHGLG00100050478.1)". The record is from RNAcentral. Lineage: Eukaryota; Metazoa; Chordata; Mammalia; Rodentia; Bathyergidae.